GAUGAACGCUGGCGGCGUGCCUAAUACAUGCCAGUCGAGCGAACAGACGAGGAGCUUGCUCCUCUGACGUUAGCGGCGGACGGGUGAGUAACACGUGGAUAACCUACCUAUAAGACUGGGAUAACUUCGGGAAACCGGAGCUAAUACCGGAUAAUAUAUUGAACCGCAUGGUUCAUUAGUGAAAGACGGUUUUGCUGUCACUUAUAGAUGGAUCCGCGCCGCAUUAGCUAGUUGGUAAGGUAACGGCUUACCAAGGCAACGAUGCGUAGCCGACCUGAGAGGGUGAUCGGCCACACUGGAACUGAGACACGGUCCAGACUCCUACGGGAGGCAGCAGUAGGGAAUCUUCCGCAAUGGGCGAAGGCCUGACGGAGCAACGCCGCGUGAGUGAUGAAGGUCUUCGGAUCGUAAAACUCUGUUAUUAGGGAAGAACAAAUGUGUAAGUAACUAUGCACGUCUUGACGGUACCUAAUCAGAAAGCCACGGCUAACUACGUG
RNAcentral lists this ribosomal RNA (497 nucleotides) under uncultured bacterium. RNAcentral's name for it is "partial 16S ribosomal RNA". It matches the Rfam family "Bacterial small subunit ribosomal RNA", at positions 28 to 507 of the family's 1533-position model. The record is from RNAcentral.